CCGAGAUUCCGGUAGUAGCGGCGAGCGAACCUGGAUUAGCCCUUAAGCACUCGGUGAAGUAGGUGAACAAGCUGGAAAGCUUGGCGAUACAGGGUGAUAGCCCCGUAACCGACGCUUCAUCGAGCGUGAAAUCGAGUAGGGCGGGACACGUGAUAUCCUGUCUGAAUAUGGGGGGACCAUCCUCCAAGGCUAAAUACUCCUGACUGACCGAUAGUGAACCAGUACCGUGAGGGAAAGGCGAAAAGAACCCCUGUGAGGGGAGUGAAAUAGAACCUGAAACCGUGUACGUACAAGCAGUAGGAGCACCUUCGUGGUGUGACUGCGUACCUUUUGUAUAAUGGGUCAGCGACUUAUAUUCAGUGGCAAGGUUAACCGUAUAGGGGAGCCGUAGCGAAAGCGAGUCUUAACUGGGCGCUCAGUCUCUGGAUAUAGACCCGAAACCGGGUGAUCUAGCCAUGGGCAGGUUGAAGGUUGAGUAACAUCAACUGGAGGACCGAACCGACUAAUGUUGAAAAAUUAGCGGAUGACUUGUGGCUAGGGGUGAAAGGCCAAUCAAACUCGGAGAUAGCUGGUUCUCCCCGAAAGCUAUUUAGGUAGCGCCUCGGACGAAUACUACUGGGGGUAGAGCACUGUUAAGGCUAGGGGGUCAUCCCGACUUACCAACCCUUUGCAAACUCCGAAUACCAGUAAGUACUAUCCGGGAGACACACGGCGGGUGCUAACGUCCGUCGUGGAGAGGGAAACAACCCAGACCGCCAGCUAAGGUCCCAAAGUAUUGCUAAGUGGGAAACGAUGUGGGAAGGCUCAGACAGCUAGGAUGUUGGCUUAGAAGCAGCCAUCAUUUAAAGAAAGCGUAAUAGCUCACUAGUCGAGUCGGCCUGCGCGGAAGAUGUAACGGGGCUAAGCAAUACACCGAAGCUGCGGCAAUAUCUUUUAGAUAUUGGGUAGGGGAGCGUUCUGUAAGCCGUUGAAGGUGAAUCGUAAGGUUUGCUGGAGGUAUCAGAAGUGCGAAUGCUGACAUGAGUAACGACAAAGGGGGUGAAAAACCUCCUCGCCGGAAGACCAAGGGUUCCUGUCCAACGUUAAUCGGGGCAGGGUGAGUCGACCCCUAAGGUGAGGCCGAAAGGCGUAAUCGAUGGGAAACGGGUUAAUAUUCCCGUACUUCUGACUAUUGCGAUGGGGGGACGGAGAAGGCUAGGUGGGCCAGGCGACGGUUGUCCUGGUUCAAGUGCGUAGGCUUGAGAGUUAGGUAAAUCCGGCUCUCUUUAAGGCUGAGACACGACGUCGAGCUGCUACGGCAGUGAAGUCAUUGAUGCCAUGCUUCCAGGAAAAGCCUCUAAGCUUCAGAUAGUCAGGAAUCGUACCCCAAACCGACACAGGUGGUCGGGUAGAGAAUACCAAGGCGCUUGAGAGAACUCGGGUGAAGGAACUAGGCAAAAUGGUACCGUAACUUCGGGAGAAGGUACGCUCUUGAUGGUGAAGUCCCUCGCGGAUGGAGCUGACGAGAGUCGCAGAUACCAGGUGGCUGCAACUGUUUAUUAAAAACACAGCACUGUGCAAAAUCGCAAGAUGACGUAUACGGUGUGACGCCUGCCCGGUGCCGGAAGGUUAAUUGAUGGGGUUAGCGCAAGCGAAGCUCUUGAUCGAAGCCCCGGUAAACGGCGGCCGUAACUAUAACGGUCCUAAGGUAGCGAAAUUCCUUGUCGGGUAAGUUCCGACCUGCACGAAUGGCGUAAUGAUGGCCACGCUGUCUCCACCCGAGACUCAGUGAAAUUGAAAUCGCUGUGAAGAUGCAGUGUACCCGCGGCUAGACGGAAAGACCCCGUGAACCUUUACUACAGCUUGGCACUGAACAUUGAACCUACAUGUGUAGGAUAGGUGGGAGGCUAUGAAGACGUGACGCCAGUUGCGUUGGAGCCGUCCUUGAAAUACCACCCUUGUAUGUUUGAUGUUCUAACUUAGACCCGUUAUCCGGGUUGAGGACAGUGCCUGGUGGGUAGUUUGACUGGGGCGGUCUCCUCCCAAAGAGUAACGGAGGAGCACGAAGGUGGGCUAAUCACGGUUGGACAUCGUGAGGUUAGUGCAAUGGCAUAAGCCCGCUUAACUGCGAGAAUGACGGUUCGAGCAGGUGCGAAAGCAGGUCAUAGUGAUCCGGUGGUUCUGUAUGGAAGGGCCAUCGCUCAACGGAUAAAAGGUACUCCGGGGAUAACAGGCUGAUACCGCCCAAGAGUUCAUAUCGACGGCGGUGUUUGGCACCUCGAUGUCGGCUCAUCACAUCCUGGGGCUGAAGUCGGUCCCAAGGGUAUGGCUGUUCGCCAUUUAAAGUGGUACGCGAGCUGGGUUUAGAACGUCGUGAGACAGUUCGGUCCCUAUCUGCCGUGGGCGUUGGAAGAUUGAAGGGGGCUGCUCCUAGUACGAGAGGACCGGAGUGGACGAACCUCUGGUGUUCGGGUUGUGUCGCCAGACGCAUUGCCCGGUAGCUAAGUUCGGAAUUGAUAAGCGCUGAAAGCAUCUAAGCGCGAAGCGAGCCCUGAGAUGAGUCUUCCCUGAUACUUUAAGUAUCCUAAAGGGUUGUUCGAGACUAGAACGUUGAUAGGCAGGGUGUGUAAGCGUUGUGAGGCGUUGAGCUAACCUGUACUAAUUGCCCGUGAGGCUUAACCA
This 2661-nucleotide ribosomal RNA is filed under the name Vibrio cholerae. Its description in RNAcentral is "partial 23S ribosomal RNA". It matches the Rfam family "Bacterial large subunit ribosomal RNA". Lineage: Bacteria; Pseudomonadati; Pseudomonadota; Gammaproteobacteria; Vibrionales; Vibrionaceae. The record is from RNAcentral.